This 442-nucleotide ribosomal RNA is filed under the name uncultured Hyphomicrobiales bacterium. Its description in RNAcentral is "bacterial SSU rRNA". It matches the Rfam family "Bacterial small subunit ribosomal RNA", at positions 33 to 523 of the family's 1533-position model. Lineage: Bacteria; Pseudomonadati; Pseudomonadota; Alphaproteobacteria; Hyphomicrobiales. The record is from RNAcentral.
ACGCUGGCGGCAGGCUUAACACAUGCAAGUCGAGCGCCCCGCAAGGGGAGCGGCAGACGGGUGAGUAACGCGUGGGAAUCUACCCAUCUCUACGGAAUAACGCAUGGAAACGUGUGCUAAUACCGUAUACGUCCUCCGGGAGAAAGAUUUAUCGGAGAUGGAUGAGCCCGCGUUGGAUUAGCUAGUUGGUGGGGUAAAGGCCUACCAAGGCGACGAUCCAUAGCUGGUCUGAGAGGAUGAUCAGCCACACUGGGACUGAGACACGGCCCAGACUCCUACGGGAGGCAGCAGUGGGGAAUAUUGGACAAUGGGCGCAAGCCUGAUCCAGCCAUGCCGCGUGAGUGAUGAAGGCCCUAGGGUUGUAAAGCUCUUUCACCGGUGAAGAUAAUGACGGUAACCGGAGAAGAAGCCCCGGCUAACUUCGUGCCAGCAGCCGCGGUAA